AACGAACGCUGGCGGCAGGCCUAACACAUGCAAGUCGAACGAGAAAUCACCCUUCGGGGUGAGAGUAGAGUGGCGCACGGGUGAGUAACGCGUGGGAACCUACCUUGGAGUACGGAAUAACUCAGGGAAACUUGGGCUAAUACCGUAUACGCCCUUCGGGGGAAAGAUUCAUCGCUCUGGGAUGGGCCCGCGUUAGAUUAGCUAGUUGGUGGGGUAACGGCCUACCAAGGCUACGAUCUAUAGCUGGUUUGAGAGGAUGAUCAGCCACACUGGGACUGAGACACGGCCCAGACUCCUACGGGAGGCAGCAGUGGGGAAUAUUGGACAAUGGGCGCAAGCCUGAUCCAGCAAUGCCGCGUGUGUGAAGAAGGCCUGCGGGUUGUAAAGCACUUUUAUCGGGAAAGAAAUCCCAGGGUUAAUACCCCUGGGCCUUGACGGUACCCGAAGAAUAAGCACCGGCUAACUCCGUG
This 470-nucleotide ribosomal RNA is filed under the name uncultured bacterium. RNAcentral describes it as "bacterial SSU rRNA". It matches the Rfam family "Bacterial small subunit ribosomal RNA", at positions 29 to 507 of the family's 1533-position model. The record is from RNAcentral.